UACAGAGGGGGCAAGCGUUAUUCGGAAUUAUUGGGCGUAAAGGGCGCGUAGGCGGCCUGACAAGUGGAUGGUGAAAUCCCUCGGCUUAACCGAGGAACUGCCAUCCAGACUGUUUGGAUUGAGACCGGGAGAGGUGAGUGGAAUUCCCAGUGUAGCGGUGAAAUGCGUAGAUAUUGGGAGGAACACCAGUGGCGAAGGCGGCAUUCUGGACCAUUACUGACGCUGAGGAGCGAAAGCCAGGGGAGCAAACGGG
This 253-nucleotide ribosomal RNA is filed under the name uncultured bacterium. RNAcentral's name for it is "partial 16S ribosomal RNA". It matches the Rfam family "Bacterial small subunit ribosomal RNA", at positions 524 to 776 of the family's 1533-position model. The record is from RNAcentral.